This 253-nucleotide ribosomal RNA is filed under the name uncultured bacterium. Its description in RNAcentral is "partial 16S ribosomal RNA". It matches the Rfam family "Bacterial small subunit ribosomal RNA", at positions 524 to 776 of the family's 1533-position model. The record is from RNAcentral.
UACAGAGGGUGCGAGCGUUGUCCGGAAUCACUGGGCGUAAAGAGCUCGUAGGUGGUUUGUCGCGUUGUUCGUGAAAACUCACAACUCAAUUGUGGGCGUGCGGGCGAUACGGGCAGACUGGAGUACUGCAGGGGAGACUGGAAUUCCUGGUGUAGCGGUGGAAUGCGCAGAUAUCAGGAGGAACACCGGUGGCGAAGGCGGGUCUCUGGGCAGUAACUGACGCUGAGGAGCGAAAGCGUGGGGAGCGAACAGG